Molecule: unclassified non-coding RNA, 1069 nt
Filed under: Neopyrenochaeta sp. FMR 17418
Lineage: Eukaryota; Fungi; Ascomycota; Dothideomycetes; Pleosporales; Neopyrenochaetaceae
Description: sequence contains 28S rRNA gene
Rfam family: Eukaryotic large subunit ribosomal RNA (bases 170-1069)
Source: RNAcentral
GUUCGAGCGUCAUUUGUACCCUCAAGCUCUGCUUGGUGUUGGGUGUUUGUCCCGCCUCGCGCGUGGACUCGCCUUAAAGUCAUUGGCAGCCGGAAUAAUUCUGGGGAACGCAGCACAACUGCAGCCUCCAUUUUACGCCGAGCGUCCAGUAAGCCUUUUUUUCAACGUUUGACCUCGGAUCAGGUAGGGAUACCCGCUGAACUUAAGCAUAUCAAUAAGCGGAGGAAAAGAAACCAACAGGGAUUGCCCUAGUAACGGCGAGUGAAGCGGCAUCAGCUCAAAUUUGAAAUCUGGCUCUUUCAGGGUCCGAGUUGUAAUUUGCAGAGGGAGCUUUCGAGUUGGCAGCGGUCUAAGUUCCUUGGAACAGGACGUCACAGAGGGUGAGAAUCCCGUACGUGGUCGCAGGCCUUCUCGAGGUAAAGCCCCUUCGACGAGUCGAGUUGUUUGGGAAUGCAGCUCUAAAUGGGAGGUAAAUUUCUUCUAAAGCUAAAUACUGGCCAGAGACCGAUAGCGCACAAGUAGAGUGAUCGAAAGAUGAAAAGCACUUUGGAAAGAGAGUCAAAUAGCACGUGAAAUUGUUGAAAGGGAAGCGCUUGCAGCCAGACUUGCCUGUAGUUGCUCAUCCGGGCUUUUGCCCGGUGCACUCUUCUAUAGGCAGGCCAGCAUCAGUUUGGGCGGUUGGAUAAAGGUCUCUGUCACGUACCUCCUCUCGGGGAGGCCUUAUAGGGGAGACGACAUGCAACCAGCCUGGACUGAGGUCCGCGCAUCUGCUAGGAUGCUGGCGUAAUGGCUGUAAGCGGCCCGUCUUGAAACACGGACCAAGGAGUCUAACAUCUAUGCGAGUGUUUGGGUGUCAAGCCCGAGCGCGCAAUGAAAGUGAACGGAGGUGGGAUCCCUUAAGGGUGCACCAUCGACCGAUCCUGAAGUCUUCGGAUGGAUUUGAGUAAGAGCAUGGCUGUUGGGACCCGAAAGAUGGUGAACUAUGCUUGAAUAGGGUGAAGCCAGAGGAAACUCUGGUGGAGGCUCGCAGCGGUUCUGACGUGCAAAUCGAUCGUCAAAUUUGGGCAUA